GAAAUGAGAUAAGUAAUGUGAAUUGCAGAAUUCAGUGAAUCAUCGAAUCUUUGAACGCACAUUGCGCCCGCCAGUAUUCUGGCGGGCAUGCCUGUCCGAGCGUCAUUUCAACCAUCAAGCCCCCGGGCUUGUGUUGGGGACCUGCGGCUGCCCGCAGGCCCUGAAAACCAGUGGCGGGCUCGCUGUCACACCGAGCGUAGUAGCAAUCACCUCGCUCAGGGCGUGCUGCGGGUUCCGGCCGUUAAACAGCCUUACAAAACCCAAGGUUGACCUCGGAUCAGGUAGGAAGACCCGCUGAACUUAAGC
Molecule: unclassified non-coding RNA, 306 nt
Filed under: plant metagenome
Description: partial contains 5.8S ribosomal RNA, internal transcribed spacer 2, and large subunit ribosomal RNA
Rfam family: 5.8S ribosomal RNA (bases 1-105)
Source: RNAcentral